UAAUGCUUCAAAGGAUGGUUAUCAUUU
RNAcentral lists this non-coding RNA (27 nucleotides) under Mus musculus (house mouse). Lineage: Eukaryota; Metazoa; Chordata; Mammalia; Rodentia; Muridae. The record is from RNAcentral.